UGGGGAAUAUUGCACAAUGGGCGCAAGCCUGAUGCAGCCAUGCCGCGUGUAUGAAGAAGGCCUUCGGGUUGUAAAGUACUUUCAGCGGGGAGGAAGGCGAUAAGGUUAAUAACCUUGUCGAUUGACGUUACCCGCAGAAGAAGCACCGGCUAACUCCGUGCCAGCAGCCGCGGUAAUACGGAGGGUGCAAGCGGUAAUCGGAUUUACUGGGCGUAAAGCGCACGCAGGCGGUCUGUCAAGUCGGAUGUGAAAUCCCCGGGCUCAACCUGGGAACUGCAUUCGAAACUGGCAGGCUAGAGUCUUGUAGAGGGGGGUAGAAUUCCAGGUGUAGCGGUGAAAUGCGUAGAGAUCUGGAGGAAUACCGGUGGCGAAGGCGGCCCCCUGGACAAAGACUGACGCUCAGGUGCGAAAGCGUGGGGAGCAAACA
RNAcentral lists this ribosomal RNA (427 nucleotides) under uncultured bacterium. Its description in RNAcentral is "partial 16S ribosomal RNA". It matches the Rfam family "Bacterial small subunit ribosomal RNA", at positions 355 to 774 of the family's 1533-position model. The record is from RNAcentral.